UACGGAGGGUGCAAGCGUUGUUCGGAUUUACUGGGCGUAAAGCGAGCGUAGGCGGGAUCGUAAGUCGGAUGUGAAAGCCCUCGGCUCAACCGAGGAAUUGCAUCCGAAACUACGGUUCUUGAGUACUGGAGAGGGAAGCGGAAUUCCCGGUGUAGAGGUGAAAUUCGUAGAUAUCGGGAGGAACACCAGUGGCGAAGGCGGCUUCCUGGACAGAUACUGACGCUGAGGCUCGAAAGCGUGGGGAGCAAACAGG
Molecule: unclassified non-coding RNA, 253 nt
Filed under: uncultured delta proteobacterium
Lineage: Bacteria; Deltaproteobacteria
Description: contains 16S-23S intergenic spacer region
Rfam family: Bacterial small subunit ribosomal RNA
Source: RNAcentral